UACAUGGGGUGCAAACGUUGCUCGGAAUUAUUGGGCGUAAAGCGCGCGUAGGCGGUUACUCAAGUCGGAUGUGAAAGCCCUCGGCUUAACUGAGGAAGUGCACCCGAAACUGAGUAGCUAGAGUACUAAAGAGGGUCGCGGAAUUCCCGGUGUAGAGGUGAAAUUCGUAGAUAUCAGGAGGAACACCGGUGGCGAAGGCGGAUCUCUGGGCCUUACCUGACGCUCAGGCGCGAAAGCUAGGGGAGCGAACAGG
RNAcentral lists this ribosomal RNA (253 nucleotides) under uncultured bacterium. RNAcentral's name for it is "partial 16S ribosomal RNA". It matches the Rfam family "Bacterial small subunit ribosomal RNA", at positions 524 to 776 of the family's 1533-position model. The record is from RNAcentral.